AUACAACUCGUACACUCCGGUUCUGAGUACGCCGCCCACACCCGACUGACGACUGCUCGCUACGUUUGAUUAGCC
Molecule: small RNA, 75 nt
Filed under: Xanthomonas sp. NCPPB 1560
Lineage: Bacteria; Pseudomonadati; Pseudomonadota; Gammaproteobacteria; Lysobacterales; Lysobacteraceae
Also listed under: 7 other names
Description: sX9 sRNA
Rfam family: Xanthomonas sRNA sX9
Source: RNAcentral